Molecule: RNA transcript, 6792 nt
Organism: Lates calcarifer (barramundi perch)
Lineage: Eukaryota; Metazoa; Chordata; Actinopteri; Centropomidae
Exons: 13
Source: RefSeq, a predicted model, not a curated record
CGUUUCGAUGUGGGAGUUCUGGUUCAGCUCUGAGAUGUGAACUUUUCGCUCCUGUUGUUGCUAAAAAAGCAAAUAUUUCAGUCUAAUUGAGCUUCAGUUGAACCUCUCAGCUCUGUUUAACCGUGCCACGACCCCGUCUUCUGUCGUCAGGAGCCGGGAACGUGAACUGAGGACGAACCGGACCGAGAGUCCGUAGUCCGGUUCAGGCCGGGGUGAAUGAAGAUGUCAGGAGGUGAAAGAUGGCGAUGGUGUUGGGAAAAGAGGAGAGAGAAGAGGACAGAGAGUCAAAAACAUCUUUGUCCUUUUCUGUGUAUUUAAGGACGACAGGGUCACACAGCGGUCGCAGAGAGUCCUGGUCCAGGCCCCGGUCACUUCAUCUGGUUUAGACUUGUUUACUUCCUCCCACUUCAUAAAAACUGGAGCAGAUUCUUUGAGUGUUCAGUGCUGAUACACUCUGUGUGGAAACAUCUAGAAGCAUAAAAUGCAGAUUAUUCAUAUUUAGUGAAUUUUUGUUUGUCGAGUAGAUUUUUCAUUAUUUACUGAAUAAAAAAAAAAAAGAAGAAUUCCUUUUGAUUCCUUUAGAUUCCUGGAGCUGUCGAGGCACGGUGCAUUCAGGGACAGUGUUGAAUGUGUGGACGGUGGUGCUGUCAGAGUGACGGGGGCUAAAGGCUUCGCUCCAUCACAUGACUACAAGGUGUGUGCCACCUACAUGGACGGGUUCAGAGCGACGGCGGUGUGUCCGGUUGGAGGGCCGAGGGCGGUGGACAAGGCCAGACGAACGGCGGACAGCAUCGUCAGACGGACGAAGCGAAUGUUUAAGCAGCUGGGACUGGAGGAUUUCAGCUCCGUCAACGUCCAGGUCCUCGGAGCAGAGGACACUUACGGUGCCAACGCUCACAGCAAGGGCUGCAGAGAGGCCAGUGAUCUGGAUGGCCGUCCACCACAAACAGAAGAAAGCUCUCGAACUCUUCUCCAGAGAAAUCGCUCCUGCAGGGACCGGCAUGGCUCCUGGACUCACCGGUAUAGUGGGCGGACGUCCCCGAGUCUCUCCUGUUCUGAAGCCGUUCUUCUUCUUACACCCAAAGUCUCAGCUGAAGGUGGACGUUCACGUCGGCGGGGAGCUGGUGGAGUCACUUUCAGAGGCGGGGCCAGACACACCUGAGCAGGAAGCCCCGCCCACCUCAGCAGAGGAUGAACCUGACACAGACCUGCCCAGCGGACCACACAGCUACAGACUGGAGGACCUGGCCUACACCCGGAGCGGGGACAAGGGAGACUCGGCCAACAUCGGAGUGAUCGCUCGUCAUCCCCUCUUCUUCCCUUACCUGAAGAAACACCUGACUUCUUCUGUGGUGGAGGAAUAUUUCUCCCACCUCAUCCAGCCGGGAGUUCAGAACGCCGUCACACGGUUCACUCUGCCGGGGAUCCACGGCCUCAACUUCGUCCUGCAGAGUUCACUGGGUGGAGGAGGGGUGGCGUCCUUACGCAGCGACCCCCAGGUUUACGUACAGUGCAUGCAGUGCACGCCACUCGUCAACACUCACAGUUGAAACUGCGGCAUCAGCCCCUGAACCAGCCUGUAUUAAAACAUAGGCCAGGUGACAGAGGACAUCAGUGGGUAAAGCCUUCGGUCAGAUGCUCCUGGACCUGAAGCUGAAAGGACUGCCUGACCUCAAAUCACUGGUGGACUGAGAGACUGAAAGGAAGAGGAGGUUAAUGAGGGUGAGAGGUGUGGGAAACAGACUCAUGACAGCACUUCACAACAAGAAAUGAAAGCGAAAGUGACGCUUCAAAGGACAUUUUACCUCAACACAAACACAGACAGAUCAUUUAUGGAUCAUGUCAGAGAGAAUAUUUCUUGGGAGCUCAGAUUGCGUCCAAAGAAAACAAGAUUAUAAUGUACAAGUCAGUCAGUACAGCCCAAAUUCACAAAUCAGCCUCGGUGCAGCAUGUGAGACUUGGCACAGAUUACAAACAAAAGAGAACAUUCAGGAAACUGUCCAAUAAAACACCACCAUAAAUAAUUUUAAUGAUUAAAGCCUCAAUGUUCAGUUUUGACCUUGGAAAGAACAGUUUGAAAACAAAUGCUCCUUUUAUUCAGCCUGUUGCACCGUUCUCACCCCUCUGAAUAAAACGUACAGAGGCAGAGACAGUUUUCAUGUAAUGGACGAACGGUGUGUCAGUUUCCUGGCUGGACAUCAGAGAUGAACGCUGGUUUUUAAUGACUUUUUAACUGAUCUACAGUUCAGCAUCACUCUGAACUCUCUGGGUCUGAUUCCAGCAGUUAAAGCUGCUGACUAUCACUCAGUUAGAGGGAGAUGGAACCUGAAAAAACAAAGUUACUCAGAGCAACCUCAGAAAACCUCAGCAAACUGCAACAGAGAAGGAGAAGCUGUCAGCUCAAUGACAUUUCCAAUGUUGCCGGAUGAAACUCUGCACUGACAAAAACUUCAACUUGUCUACUCAUCGUACAGAAUCUGAAACACAAACCAACCUUUGUGCCAAGACGAACAGAGGCCACUGAGGCCUUUUCUCUUACAUAAGUGAAACAUGAAAUACAGUAAUAAGUCAAACCCACAUUAGAGUCUCUUGUCUCUCAGUCUCAGACUCUCAGUCUCUCCUGUCACACUGCUGAAGCAUCACAAUCAUUUUCUCUGACACUCAGUGUUUUUCAGACUUUAGUCUUUUAUCUGUGUCAGCUGUGAUUCUUGGCUGUUGACUGUUUUUCCUUUCGGGUUCAUUUCUGCAGUAAAGACGUCGGAGACUCGUUUGCACUCAUCAUGAAUUUCUUUAAAGCCGUUUCUCACAUAUGAACUCCGGACAACGCGCAGGGAAUCCGGUCCAAACGUUGUCCGGAGUAUUCUGUUGUCUGGAGCCGGCAGGAUAAAGUUUGUUUAAUGUCCAGUCCAACUGAUUUGGACAUUUGCGUUCACACAGAGAGACGCCCUGUAUUGUCUAGAAAAGUUUGGGUUUGCAGUGCAUGUCUAAAAGCAGCUGAAAACACCAGCCUUCAUAAACUCCUGCAGAUUAAACUGAGACUCUGUUUUCUAAACUACUUCUUCCAAGGAUAAGAAUGAACUUUGAAGCUCAACUCUUGAGCCAACAUGGAUGAGAAGUCGUUAAAUCUCCAUCCAUCUACUUCUGUGAUAUGACUGAAAGCUCCAAAACAGCUACUAAAUGGCCUUUGAGGGGACACUGGUUAAUAAACCUCCAGUUAUUUUGUCAGGAUUUUAUGGUAUAAGCAGGAGAUUUGUUGUUUUUUCAAGUUUUAGCCCUUGAUCUACAGAACAGUCCUUUUAACAACAUGAACACCACAGUCAUUGCGGUGUGGUCCAGCUCUUUUAAAAGCUGGUAAAUGGCUGCCUGCCAUCAUCACCAUCAUGUGAAAGAUUUUCCGUCCCAGAGGGUUGGAUGUCGAAGAUACAGAGGGCAUUCGUGGAGGCAAACGUGCAGAUUUCCCUCCAGAAUCUGCCUCUGACUUCCCUGAGAGGAGAGAGCGGUGGUUUGGGUUUUCCCUCGGAGGGUAAACAAAGUCUCCACCACGGCGACAAGACGCUCCAGUCAGAUAUCAGAGGAGACACAUGCUCUCAGGCCUCAGGUCCAACAGGCCCAAUGCCUGGUUUCCCCCGGAUCCUUCACCUCGAUGCGACCCGGCUCCGAUGUUCGCCACCCCGCAGGAAUGUGUGUCUCCUUCCACCAGACCGACUCUCUGGCCUCCAGUCUGUUUAUCUAUAAUUGCAAACAGGCUGAGGCUGCAGCUUCCGUCAUGGCUGAAAACUCAUCUUACCCACCUCCUCUGAAUCAUCCCCCCACCCCCAAAUCUUCCUCCUCACGCUGUUGCAGUUUGCUCUCAUCAGAAAAACAGAAAAUCCCCUUUGCUUUUUUCCCUCUUUGGAUUUUUAACUUUUUCCUGGCGCUUCUCUCUUAAUGUGGCCGUUCUUUGGUUCCAGGAAAAUUGAUCAGCCACUCUUUCUCUGACCUUUGACCACUUUUGGUUCUUUGAGAAACUCGUGAUCUUGGUACAAAAAAGUAUUUCAUAAAUUUGACGAUCCCAAACACAAAAAAGAAACCGCACUAGACAGCCUCCCUAAACCAAUAAAUAAACAGUGGCCUUGUAAAUGGAUGUUCAAAGACUUUUGUGCCCAAUAAAACCUAAGAGACAGGAAGACAAAUCCUUCCAGGCUUGAAUUGAAAACAGCGUUGCAUGAGUAUAAAUCAGGCCAAUAACAGAGGAAUCACACAGGAAAAAUAAAAGUCCAUGGGCGUGUCUUUGGGAUUCAGAAAAUGACACUGAAGUGGUCAGAAUUGAAGAGCGAGGUGUUAAAAUGAAAGCUGUAAAUCCCCGCUCAUUUCCUGUUUUCAUAAAACCCCAAAUUGAAAAAAGUCACGAGCGACAAUAUCAUCACUUUACAUGGAAAUACACUGACAUCUUAAUGAUGACUGUGAGGCCUCAGAGCGAAACUUAUGGUUCACAUCUGUCCUGCAUAUUGCUGCUUCCCAAAGCUCCGACCCUGUGAUUCCCAGGAAAUAUUUUUGCUAAUUAUUUGGAGAAACUCUUCAUCAUUGUGAAAGAACAUUUUCUGGCUAAUUCUUCGUGUAACCCCCCAAAAACAUAACACGAACCAUUUGAUGUUUUCCAAAGCACUUCAUGUAGCCCUGAGUGUGUAGAGAGAGAAUUUUCAAGCAAGUGUUGCUCAUUUUCUGACAUGUUUUAGUCAUUUCUGUUGUCGUAGUAGACUUUCCUUCAGCCAAUUUUUGAGUCUAAACACAAGUUGUUGUGAAACCAUUGAGGUCAAACUUCAUAAAACUUCACAUGGUUUCUAUAAAAAAAAAAAGAAAAGAAAAGAAAAACUAAACAAAUGUCUGUCCAAAAACAUAUAAGUAGAUAAAUUCUUGCUAAUUCAGUUAGAUCAUUUUAAAACAGAAAAAAAUAGAAUAAAAUUACCAUCAGUUAAAAGCUGUCUCAAUCUAUUGAAGAGCUUUUUUUGUGAGGGUCAUUAAUUUCUGUACCUAAUUUCAUGGAAAUCCAUCUAGUAGUACUUUGAAAGGUCCAAGAACAGUUUUUAUUUUUUGCAGAUUUAAAAUAAACAACAGAAACAUGAAUGUUUAAGGUAAAGAAAAAGCAAUUUAAGUUGUCGGACUCUGGUCAAACUAUGCAACAUUUAUCAACGGAGCAGCUUUUAUUCCUUUGUAAUUAUCCAAUUUCCAUGGUAAUCCAUCUAGUUUUUUCUUUUUAAAAGAUAUUUUCAUCUGGAACAAGAACAAAGACCCACAAAUUCAGCCAUGUAGAAUGCCUAAUAACUAGGCAUAUAAUAAUUUCAACAAUUUGAAAUCAACCAAUAAAAACAUGAAAACUUUCUUGAAGUUGGAGGUUUUUGGACAGAUUCUCCUCAAAUUCUGUAACAUUAAACCACAAAAGAGCCUUUAUGCCUUUGUUAUAUAACACACUAAAGACCAUGAACAUUUGUUCCUAAGUUCAUGGUAAUCCAUCCAGUAUUUUUUCCUAGAAACUUUAUUCUGGACUAUAUUGUUGCUGGCUGGGCAAAUAAGCAAAGGUCCAAGAAUUGAUCCUUGUGAAAUUCCAGACAAUUUCUGUUGUUUCAACAGUUUUAGUUUUAUCAACGGAUAAAAACAGUGGAGGUUUUGAACAGAUUCUUGUCAAACUAUGUAAUAUUAAUCCACAGAAGAGGCUUUACUCAUGUUAUUUAAGACACUAAAGAUCAUGAACAUCUGUGCCAAACUUCAUGGUAAUCCAUCCAACAGUUGUUAAGAUCUGGUCCAUAAUGUUGGUAGUUGGGCAAAAAAUACAAAGGCCCAAGAAUUGAGCCUUGUGGAACACCAGAUAGUUUGUUAUUUCAACUGUUUUCCAUCAACCAGUAAAAACAUAAAAGCUUCUCUAAGUAAGACAAAAAUUGGCGAACGUUGAUCAUGGCCUGUUGUCAAACUCUGUAAUAUCUUUCCACACAAGAGCCGUUUCAUCUGUUAUUUAAGACCCUACAGACCAUGAAUGUUUGUACCAAAUUUCAUGGUGAUCCUUCCAGUGUUUAUGGAUAUCUGGGCCAGACUGCUGCUAGUCAGGCGAAAAACUAAAGGUCCAAGAAUUGAACCUGUGGAACACCAGAUGCUUUUUCAUUAUCACAGUUAAACUGACCAGUGGAAACAACAAGAAGUCUAACUUGUCUAAAAUCAAAGAAAACUGGUUUGAGUUCUUGUUCUUACUCUGGUCAAACUAUGAUUUUAUGUUUUCAUGGAUGUAGCAUUAACUCACAUUGAAGAGUCAGUCAAUAUGGCGCUCAGGACAAACUACAGAAACAUUUUAUUUUUAGUUUUCUGAUGAAUGUUAGAAGUACUUUUUUGUUUCUCAGUUUCUGUUGACUUUUCAGGGCAUGACAUGUUUUCAGGGGAAGCUAAACUCUCUCCACAUGAAGCCUUAUUGUAGAGCUACAUGUGCGUUUUGUAUCACUGUGUUGAUUUUAUUAAAUAGAGCACCACUUCAGUUUAACUCUCUCUACAUGUUACUGCUCUUCGUCCAUUUGGGGGAAAAAAAAAACUUUUUGAACUUGAAACUCAGAAAUAUUUUUAAACCACAUAUAAUUAAACCAUAGAAACAGAAAUCUUUUAAUUAAAGAUUUUCGAUGACUAAAAAUGUAAAUUAUAACGUAAAGAAAAAACAACACACUUCUGCCUUGUUUGAUUCUUCUGUUUUCUGCAGAGAACAUCAUUGAAUGCAUUUAAAUAGUGAGUUGAUGUCUGUAUGAUUUUGUAGAUAAUAAACUGAAGAGAUUAAAAAUA